Molecule: ribosomal RNA, 485 nt
Filed under: uncultured Cytophagales bacterium
Lineage: Bacteria; Pseudomonadati; Bacteroidota; Sphingobacteriia; Sphingobacteriales
Description: bacterial SSU rRNA
Rfam family: Bacterial small subunit ribosomal RNA
Source: RNAcentral
GAUGAACGCUAGCGGCAGGCUUAACACAUGCAAGUCGAGGGGUAACAGGAGUGCUUGCACUCGCUGACGACCGGCGCACGGGUGCGUAACGCGUAUAGAACCUACCUUUUACUGAGGGAUAGCCUUUAGAAAUGAAGAUUAAUACCUCAUGGUAUUGUAAUUUGGCAUCAGAUUAUAAUUAAAGAUUUAUUGGUAAAAGAUGGCUAUGCGUCUUAUUAGCUAGAUGGUAAGGUAACGGCUUACCAUGGCAACGAUAAGUAGGGGCCCUGAGAGGGGGAUCCCCCACACUGGUACUGAGACACGGACCAGACUCCUACGGGAGGCAGCAGUGAGGAAUAUUGGGCAAUGGAGGCAACUCUGACCCAGCCAUGCCGCGUGCAGGAAGACUGCCCUAUGGGUUGUAAACUGCUUUUAUACAGGAAGAAACACACCUACGUGUAGGUGCUUGACGGUACUGUAAGAAUAAGCACCGGCUNACUCCGUGC